GAGGGUUGAUAGGUUAAGAGCUGAUCAAUUGGACGUUACCCACAGAAGAAGCACCGGCUAACUCCGUGCCAGCAGCCGCGGUAAUACGGAGGGUGCGAGCGUUAAUCGGAAUUACUGGGCGUAAAGGGUGCGUAGGUUGUUGAGUAAGUUAUCUGUGAAAUUCCUGGGCUUAACCUGGGACGGUCAGAUAAUACUGCUUGACUCGAGUAUGGGAGAGGGUAGUGGAAUUUCCGGUGUAGCGGUGAAAUGCGUAGAGAUCGGAAGGAACACCAGUGGCGAAGGCGGCUACCUGGCCUAAUACUGACACUGAGGCACGAAAGCGUGGGGAGCAAACAGGAUUAGAUACCCUGGUAGUCCACGCUGUAAACGAUGUCAACUAGCUGUUGGCCUUAUGAAUGAGGUUAGUGGCGCAGCAAACGCGAUAAGUUGACCA
Molecule: ribosomal RNA, 433 nt
Filed under: uncultured Legionella sp.
Lineage: Bacteria; Pseudomonadati; Pseudomonadota; Gammaproteobacteria; Legionellales; Legionellaceae
Description: bacterial SSU rRNA
Rfam family: Bacterial small subunit ribosomal RNA
Source: RNAcentral